CCUACGGGAGGCAGCAGUGGGGAAUAUUGCACAAUGGGGGAAACCCUGAUGCAGCGACGCCGCGUGAGCGAAGAAGUAUUUCGGUAUGUAAAGCUCUAUCAGCAGGGAAGAAAAUGACGGUACCUGAGUAAGAAGCUCCGGCUAAAUACGUGCCAGCAGCCGCGGUAAUACGUAUGGAGCAAGCGUUAUCCGGAUUUACUGGGCGUAAAGGGAGCGUAGGCGGCCUGCCAAGUCUGAUGUGAAAUACCGGGGCUCAACCCCGGGGCUGCAUUGGAAACUGGCAGGCUGGAGUGUCGGAGAGGCAGGCGGAAUUCCUAGUGUAGCGGUGAAAUGCGUAGAUAUUAGGAGGAACACCAGUGGCGAAGGCGGCCUGCUGGACGGUGACUGACGCUGAGGCUCGAAAGCGUGGGGAGCAAACAGGAUUAGAUACCCCGGUAGUC
RNAcentral lists this ribosomal RNA (440 nucleotides) under uncultured bacterium. RNAcentral's name for it is "partial 16S ribosomal RNA". It matches the Rfam family "Bacterial small subunit ribosomal RNA", at positions 338 to 795 of the family's 1533-position model. The record is from RNAcentral.